CAUGCAAGUCGAGCGGUAACAGACAUAAAGAUUCAGCUUGCUGAAUCCGGUGCUGACGAGCGGCGAACGGGUGAGUAACGCGUAGGAAUCUACCCAGUAGCGGGGGAUAGCCCGGGGAAACCCGGAUUAAUACCGCAUACGCCCUAAGGGGGAAAGGGGGCAGCUUGCUGCUCUUACUAUUGGAUGAGCCUGCGUAAGAUUAGCUUGUUGGUAGGGUAAUGGCCUACCAAGGCAACGAUCUUUAGCUGGUCUGAGAGGACGAUCAGCCACAUUGGGACUGAGACACGGCCCAGACAUCUACGGAUGGCAGCAGUUAAGAAUAUUGGACAAUGGGGGCAACCCUGAUCCAGGUAUACCGCGUGUGUGAAGAAGGCCCUAGGGUUGUAAAGCACUUUAAUCAGAGAAGAAGCAUUUUAAGUUAAUACCUUAUUAUGUUGACGUUACCUGAAGAAUAAGGACCGGCUAACUCCGUGCCAGCAGCCGCGGUAAUACGGAGGGUCCAAGCGUUAAUCGGAAUUACUGGGCGUAAAGCGCGCGUAGGCGGUUUAGCAAGUUGAAUGUGAAAGCCCUAGGCUCAACCUAGGAACUGCAUUCAAAACUACUGAGCUAGAGUACGAGAGAGGAGAGUAGAAUUUCUGGUGUAGCGGUGAAAUGCGUAGAUAUCAGAAGGAAUACCAAUGGCGAAGGCAGCUCUCUGGCUCGUCACUGACGCUAAGGUGCGAAAGCGUGGGUAGCAAACAGGAUUAGAUACCCUGGUAGUCCACGCCGUAAACGAUGAGAACUAGCCGUUGGACAGAUUUAACUGUUCAG
This 810-nucleotide ribosomal RNA is filed under the name uncultured Gammaproteobacteria bacterium. RNAcentral's name for it is "bacterial SSU rRNA". It matches the Rfam family "Bacterial small subunit ribosomal RNA", at positions 54 to 843 of the family's 1533-position model. The record is from RNAcentral. Lineage: Bacteria; Pseudomonadati; Pseudomonadota; Gammaproteobacteria.